UACGUAGGGUGCGAGCGUUAAUCGGAAUUACUGGGCGUAAAGCGUGCGCAGGCGGUUUUGUAAGCCAGAUGUGAAAUCCCCGGGCUUAACCUGGGAAUGGCAUUUGGGACUUGCAAGGCUUGAGUGCGGCAGAGGAGACUGGAAUUCCUGGUGUAGCAGUGAAAUGCGUAGAGUAUCAGGAGGAACACCGAUGGCGAAGGCAGGUCUCUGGGCUGACACUGACGCUCGAUGCAUCG
RNAcentral lists this ribosomal RNA (236 nucleotides) under uncultured bacterium. RNAcentral's name for it is "partial 16S ribosomal RNA". It matches the Rfam family "Bacterial small subunit ribosomal RNA", at positions 524 to 756 of the family's 1533-position model. The record is from RNAcentral.